This 497-nucleotide ribosomal RNA is filed under the name uncultured bacterium. Its description in RNAcentral is "partial 16S ribosomal RNA". It matches the Rfam family "Bacterial small subunit ribosomal RNA", at positions 28 to 507 of the family's 1533-position model. The record is from RNAcentral.
GAUGAACGCUGGCGGCGUGCCUAAUACAUGCAAGUCGAGCGAACAGACGAGGAGCUUGCUCCUCUGACGUUAGCGGCGGACGGGUGAGUAACACGUGGAUAACCUACCUAUAAGACUGGGAUAACUUCGGGAAACCGGAGCUAAUACCGGAUAAUCUCUUGAACCGCAUGGUUCAAUAGUGAAAGACGGUUUUGCUGUCACUUAUAGAUGGAUCCGCGCCGCAUUAGCUAGUUGGUAAGGUAACGGCUUACCAAGGCAACGAUGCGUAGCCGACCUGAGAGGGUGAUCGGCCACACUGGAACUGAGACACGGUCCAGACUCCUACGGGAGGCAGCAGUAGGGAAUCUUCCGCAAUGGGCGAAAGCCUGACGGAGCAACGCCGCGUGAGUGAUGAAGGUCUUCGGAUCGUAAAACUCUGUUAUUAGGGAAGAACAAAUGUGUAAGUAACUAUGCACGUCUUGACGGUACCUAAUCAGAAAGCCACGGCUAACUACGUG